AUUCAAGCUUAGAGAGGUAAAAGAGGGAACUCAAGGAGGCAACUCAUAGCUCUUAUCUCCUAGCUCGAUGGAAAUUCUUCUCCCCUUCCUGGACUUCUCAUGAAGCUCCCUUGAGAUAUUACUCUACUUGGCUAUGAAGGUUGAGACUUCUAUCUAGUCUCAAAGCUGCUUUUCCUGAGAGUUUCUGAUUGGCCCUCUCUCAGCACCCAGCUGGAUGCAUUGCUUAUUCUUGGUCUAGUUUCCAGUUAUAUGGUCAGUUGGGGAAUGUGGGAUGGGGAGAAUAAUACUUCCUCCCUGCUUACCGUUUGCUGACCCCUCUUCAGACUGGAGGUUGGAAUAACGAAUUCAACCUUCAUUUAAGGAGAGGAGACAGGAAAGAAAUCUCAGCCGUCUCAUUACCCACCUGGCUGUACUCACUUUGUCAUAAUCAUAGUCUGGGAAAACUUAUUAUCAUUCAAGCUCUUGAAGCUUAAUUCUCAAAGCAGCUGCUGGAAUGCUUCUGCUAUGAUAUCUUUACUUUAUUAUCUUAGUCCACAGAUUUUUCCAAUUCUUUCAACUAACCCCAAUAAUUCAUGCUUAGCUUAUACCUUUCAUUGAUUUUGAUUCAGUUAUGGUGUUCAGAAAGUGUCCAUACCUUUGGUUGAUUGGUUCAAUGUCUUUACCUAGGUAAAUACAAAACACAGACAAAAACAGAUAAAAGGUAUCCUUGGUGGGUGCUAGAGGAGAAGUAUUAGCAUCUGGGGUAGAAUUGGGGAGGGGAGAAGGCAGAAAAGACAUCACGUGGAAGAUGGCACUCGUGUUGUGUCUUGAAAGGAACCAGGAAUUCCAAGUGGCAGGGAUGAGGAAUGCUGAGAGAGGGCUCUGGCUUGUUGGAGAGGUCCAAUCAUGGAACUUUGAAAGAGUGAGAGAGUGUGGAGUGUGGGAACUGCUUGGGAAUUCUCAGUCCUGGGAAGGCACUUUCGAGUGCAAAGAAUGACUGUUGGAAGGCAAAUUCAGGGGCUUUCAUCAAGAGUGACUGAGCCCUGAAUACCAAGGUAAGAGCACAACUCUGGAGGUUGAGAGAGAUGGUGAAGUGAGGCAGUGAUCUGCAGAUUGGUGUGACUUCCCUGUGAUUCCUCUCCUAGAGCAUAAAUACCAGGACAAAGAGUUAUCAUGAAAGAGCAUGAAAAAGAUUCGGUCUAGUAUUGGAAAUCUGAAUCAUGCCUUUCUUGAACUCCUAGUUCUCAUGGGAAAGGGAUCAAUGGGGGACCCAGGGAAGGAGGUGGGGACAGGGUGACCCAGGAUGUUUGGUGUGCCUAUCAGGGAGUGACAUCGCCUAAAGAGGUCACACAAGUAAGAAAUGGAAGAUCUGGGAUUUGAACCUAGGUUCUCUGGCACCAGAUUCUCUGCUGAUGUCCCCAUACCACACUGCAAAGAGAUCUACUCUCAUAAAUGUCAAAAAUCAUUGCCUCCUUUUCUUGAAGCAUUUUAUAAUUAUAGGAGAUGCUGAUCCAAGACAAUGGAACGAACUGGAACAUUCCUCAUUCAUGUAACUGCAGACUCCCAGACCCUUGCCAGCUAUCUCCAGCCAAGUGGUUGUCACACCCUAGAAAGGAUUUUAUCCUCUUUAGGGAGCCUCCCAUGCAGCCACCGCUCUAGCUUCUGGUGAAGGAAUACCAUGGUGCUGCCUUAGAUGUGCUCUGAGAUCCUCUGUUUAAGGGCUGAACUAUCAUCGUUAUCUCCAUUUUCCAGAAGAGGAGUUGGAGGUCACAGAACAGCAGAGUGACCCAUCCAGCUUCCCACCCCAUUGAGAGAAAAUCAACAGCCUUUAAAGAACCUGCCUCCAAGGAAGGCUUAAAGAAAAGAUGAAAGACUGAUAUUUUAUCAAAUUUCCAGGAAAAAAGAUUCCUCCUUAGAAAUAUUUCACCUGGAAGAACCCUUAGAAACCUAGUUAAGCUCUUCCGUCUUACAGAGGAAGCACCCAGAAAAGGAAAGGGACUUGUCCCAAGAUACAUCAAGGAAUGGAAGAAGAGCUGGGACAAGGUGGUGAAGAAGGACAAAAUCUGAAAGGGCACCCCCAAGGCUCCUCGAGAUCUCCCUGGACGUCUUAGUUAGGUCAUGCUCUGCCAGACUACCCAGAUUACUUAUUACUAAGACUCCCCAGCCAAGUAGGAAUUGGGGGUUCUGGGAAAGAAGCCAGGGUACUUAGCCAGCCUGAUUUAGGCAAGUAGAUUGGCAUAGUCCAUUUUCCUGGAACAGAACACCUCUGGCCCCGAGGGUGCUCCUUCUUUCCCAGAGGACUCAUGAAUCCUAGCCUGCCACAGCAGGACACGAUGACCUGCCCUGUUCCACUGGGGAUCUGGAUGCAGCCUCUCCUACUGUCUGCCAGUUAAAGUGGUGACAUUGCUGGAGAGGCAAGGGAAAAUGGUCCUGAUUUCUUUUUUGGAUGGGUUGGGAGCCAUUAUAUAGAGCAGCUAGAGUUUGAACCCCAUGGGGCUUUGAAAAGAGUCUGCGGCAGCCUUCCUCUCCACCCACCAGCCUAUUUGUGAGGUUGUGUGGGAGAGAGACCCAACCCAGCCUCAUUACUUUCAGGAGCACAAAGAAAACUAAGCCUCCUUUUUAUAGUGAAAGAAAAAAAUGUCAAAGACCAAGGAAGUGGCAUGGCAAACUCUAGGCUAGGAUUAUUCAGAAGAUGAUCGUUCUCCCCCCCGGCUAUUUCCAUUGCUAGCUGGGUGAUCUUGGGCAAAUUAUUAAUGCCACUGAGGCUCAGUUUUCUCAUCUCUAAAAUGGAAAUGUACCUGUCUUGCGGACCUGAAAAGGUUGUUUGUGAGGACUGAAUUCAGUAGAUGAUACAGAUAACCAUUAGGUGGUGCUAUCUGGCAAAAUGUGAAGCCUUGGUUUGCCCAUAAAUGUGACCAGAAGAGGCACUCCAGCUUUUCUUUCCCCAUGAUCAGAAUUUCAACGACCUCACCAAGAGGGGAGUGAUGGCUCUUUGGAUGCCCCCAUCUUCCUCCUCCUGAGGGGCCCAGGAGGUCUGGCUCCAUCCAUACCUCUACUGGCCCUUUCACUGGGAAACGUGAGUUUCACCCAGUCAUCGUUGCUCCAUGCCAUCUGGAAGAAUGGCCUCAAGUCAAGUCUGUCAGUCUGUCUCUACUCUGUAGGUAUUUAUUAGAGUUAUUCAGAAAAAAAUCUAAAUGAUGCCAUUCUCUUGUCCACCAGCUCAGCUCCCUCAUAGAGAAAGCUAGCUGUAGCAUCCUAGACCGAGACUGAAGACUCUUCCUGCUUCAUCCUCAGUUUAUCAGCCUAAUCACUGGCGUCUUCCAGGAUUGUGCCUCUUGAAUGUCAUUAAUUCACAGACACGAGUCCUGGAUUGUUAACAAUGAGUCCUGGUUUAUAGGAGGCAAAUCAAGACACAGAAUCAGUUUAAAGAGAGAAAAUCUAGGAGAAAGCAACUGACUGCUGUAGGAAUUAGGUAAGGGAUAGGUACAUGUUAUGGACUAGCUUUAAGAGGAAAAGAGGAGAAUUGGGAUGCAAGCCCUGGGAGAGGAUUCUACAUUCCUACACUGAGAGUGUGUGAAGGGGGUAGGAAGGGAGUUAACCCUUCACCGACCUUUUCUGGAUCCCAGCGAGUCGUCUGUUCCCAUCACUCACCAUCAGAGCCCUUUCAUUCAGGAAUCUGACCUCUGGAGUCAAGGCCACUCCAUCAAGACUCUCCUCUCUCAACUGGCACCACAAAAUGGCAGUAGGGUCUUUUCUCUCUCUCUGUUCACCUUUGGGACAUCUUUCUCCAAACUCAUACUUGUUUUUAAAAAAUACCUUUAUCUGCCAUCUUAGAAUCACUACUUUGUAUUGGUUGUAAGGUAGAGGAAUGGUAAAGGCUAGGUUAAGUGACUUGCCCAAGGUCACACAGUCAGGAAAUGUCUGAGGACAAAUUUGAAUCUAGGACUUUCCAUUUCUUAGCCUGACUCUUUAUCUACUGAGCCACCUCGCUUCUCCCAAACCCAUACUACAAAUGAACUUAGCCUUCCUACUUUGGAUCUACUUCUUCCCAGCCCAGUGUGUGCCUAUAAAAACUCUCCCAGGGAAUUUCUUUCCCAGAAAACAAUGCUGUCAAGGGCUCUAAUUUACAGGUGUCGUACAGUUUUAAGUCUUUCUUCUUUGCCUAGAGAGUAAAGUCUGAGCACUCAGUGUACAUGCACUCAUAGAUAUAUAGGAAAACUUUUGGAAAAUUAACUUUAUAUAAACUUGAGGCAUUUUGGCAUCACUCAUUUCAGCAACCUGCAUCUAGUUGGUACUUGGUGAUUAUUUGUUUAGGGAAUGAAUGAAUGAAUGAAUUCUUUAUAGCUCUGAAAAAAAUCUUCUGUUGUAUUUUUGUUUAACCAUAUAAGAACUCAAGCCCAGUUGGGCAUCAAAGGGGUUGAUAGACAUAGAGCUCAAGGAGUCAAAUUCAAAUAGAACUGGAUCCCUGCUGCCUCAUAUGGACUUAGAAAACCACAAAUUAACAUUAUCUUUUUAUUAUAUAUAGUAUUAUAGGGAGCAGCUAGAUGGCCCAGAGUCAGGAAGAUUCAUCUUCCUGAGCUCAAAUCUGACCUGAGAUGCCUGCAGCAAUUACUUAGCAGUGUCACCAUGGUGAAUUUUUUUCUUCUUUAAAUGUACAUGAUCGUAUUUGGCCCUCAUGACCAUCCUGGGAAGGUGUGCUAGUAAAUGUUUAACAGCAAGCUCUCUGAGGGGAAAAAGUACACAAGAGUAGCUUCUAAGUUUGAUCUGCAUUUUUAACAUUUUCUCCCUCACUUUUCUUAAGCCUGGACAAUCCAGAAAGCAAUAAAUGGAGCCCUGGUUGGGUAGCAUUUGUGGAUUUCCAAGGUGCAUGCUCAGAAUGAAAGUUAAAUAAUCUGCUUUCUCAAGUUGCAGGUAGGAGCUGGCUCCAGCACACCCUUGGAGGCAGGCAUCAUUAACGUGACUUUAUUGUUGUUCAGUCCUGUCUUAACUCUCCAUGGCCUCAUUUGGGGUUUUCUUGGCAGAGAUACUGGAGUGGCUUGCUGUUACCUUCUCCGGCUCAUUUUACAGAAACAGAGGUCAACAGGGUUAAGUGACUUGCUUAGGGUCACACAGAGAGUAAGUAUCUGAAGCCAGUCUUGACCCCAGUAAGAUGAGGCCCUCCAAACAAGUGGGGCCCACCAUUCUGAAAAACAUUUUGGAAGUAUUGAGGAAAGUCAUUCAGGAGUUACUACCUUGUGAUCUAAAGUCACUACUGGAUAGACACCCCAAGAAGGUUAUGAUAAGAAAAAAAACCCCACAUAGAUGCUAAAAUAUUCUUAGCAAACUUUCUGAAGUAGUAAAAAACGGAGGUGGGGGAAGGAGUACAUCAAUGGGAUGAGUGGCUAAAAAAUGGUACUAAACAGCUGUGUGACCCUGGGCAAGUCACUUCACCCUGCUGGCUUCAGUUUCCUCAUCUAUAAAAUGAGGUUGGAGAAAGAAAUAGCAAACCAUUUUUUUUGUCUUUGCCAAGAAAAUCCCAAAUGGGUCAUGAAGCAUUGGACAUGACUGAAAACCACUGAACCACAAAUGUGAAUAUAAUGGUCUAUUAUUGAUGUGUAGUAAGAGAUGAGAAUUAUGGAGAAUUCAGAGAAGCUUGAAAAGAUUUACAAAAAAGAACCAGCAUAGGGACAAAUGCAACAACCAAGGAAUGA
Molecule: long non-coding RNA, 5669 nt
Organism: Monodelphis domestica (gray short-tailed opossum)
Lineage: Eukaryota; Metazoa; Chordata; Mammalia; Didelphimorphia; Didelphidae
Source: RefSeq, a predicted model, not a curated record